RNAcentral lists this long non-coding RNA (357 nucleotides) under Androctonus crassicauda. The record is from RNAcentral. Lineage: Eukaryota; Metazoa; Arthropoda; Arachnida; Scorpiones; Buthidae.
GGUUUGAUGUGUGCGGGCAUGUCUGGGACCUGGGCGCGAGGUCGAUGGGAGUGUGGUCCAUAUAUGUCACGUUGUGUCUUGUUCCAGAUGCCGUCAGUGGUUUUCGGGUGGUGCCCAUGUUUGCGUCCUAUAUUGGGGAUAUAUUGGCGCUCUUUUUCUAUAUCGACCCGCUUGGUGGUGUGGGUGAGGGCCCUGGAGGUUGUACUCUUGGACGCAGCUGGCUUGUAUGGCGUGGGAUCCCUGGACCAUGCCGGGAUGGGUGCAGGUGUGUAAGAGGGUUUUCUGUGGAUAGUAGUGGUGUGUUCUCCCAUUUGUGCCUCAACGUUCACAUCCAGAGGGUGGAGUCCAUGGGCAGAG